GGAGAAUGUUUCUGUAAAUGGAAAAUGUAGAGAAAAAUCUCAGUGAAAGGGGAAAUCCUGAAAAAGAAUAAAUGGGUAUUGGAUUAAAGAAACACUGAAAGGAGCAUAAAGAGCUGUUAUGCCAAAUCAAGCCAAGAAUCUGAAUAUAUGGCCUAAAAUGAUAAAAAAAUCAAACAAGAAUCUGAAGCCAACCCUAAUAGUAACAGAAAAAGACCUUGCAAA
RNAcentral lists this unclassified non-coding RNA (222 nucleotides) under Hevea brasiliensis (rubber tree). Lineage: Eukaryota; Viridiplantae; Streptophyta; Magnoliopsida; Malpighiales; Euphorbiaceae. The record is from RNAcentral.